AGAGUUUGAUCAUGGCUCAGAACGAACGCUGGCGGUGUGCUUAAUACAUGCAAGUCGAACGAUAAGGCCCUUCGGGGUACAUAAGUGGCGGACGGGUGAGUAAUGCGUAGGUAAUCUGCCUCAAGGAGGGGGACAACGUUGGGAAACUGACGCUAAUACCCCAUAUGUGCAAGAUUGAAAUGUUUUGCAUGAAAGUUUCGGCGCCUUGAGAUGAGCCUGCGUCUGAUUAGCUUGUUGGUGGGGUAAAGGCCUACCAAGGCGAUGAUCAGUAGCUGGUCUGAGAGGAUGAUCAGCCACAAUGGGACUGAGACACGGCCCAUACUCCUACGGGAGGCAGCAGUAGGGAAUUUUGCGCAAUGGGCGAAAGCCUGACGCAGCAACACCGCGUGAGCGAUGAAGCCCUUUGGGGUGUAAAGCUCUGUCAGUGGGGAAGAAUAAAUGACUGUACCCACAAAGGAAGCAUCGGCUAACUACGUGCCAGCAGCCGCGGUAAGACGUAGGAUGCAAGCGUUGUCCGGAAUUAUUGGGCGUAAAGAGUUCGUAGGCGGCAUGUCAAGUCUGGUGUUAAAGACCGUGGCUCAACCACGGAAUGGCACUGGAUACUGGCAAGCUAGAGUACAAAAGAGGCAAGGGGAAUUCCCAGUGUAGCGGUGAAAUGCGUAGAUAUUGGGAGGAACACCAGUGGCGUAAGCGCCUUGCUGGGCUGUUACUGACGCUGAGGAACGAAAGCCAGGGGAGCAAAUGGGAUUAGAUACCCCAGUAGUCCUGGCUGUAAACGAUGGAUACUAGGUGUUGCGGGUAUCGACCCCUGCAGUGCCGCAGCUAACGCGUUAAGUAUCCCGCCUGGGGAGUACGCACGCAAGUGUGAAACUCAAAUGAAUUGACGG
This 887-nucleotide ribosomal RNA is filed under the name uncultured bacterium. Its description in RNAcentral is "bacterial SSU rRNA". It matches the Rfam family "Bacterial small subunit ribosomal RNA", at positions 8 to 916 of the family's 1533-position model. The record is from RNAcentral.